AGAGAGAGAAACUUGGGGUGUCAUUCAGUAGAUUCAUUUCUUGUCGAAAAGGCCUCCUAAGCCUCCAAAGCCACCAUUCUUCUUCUUGGGAGGAACCGCCACAACAUUCUUGCGGCCGCCAUUCUUCUCCUCCACCUUCUUCAGGAUGGGGUCGGUCUCCAGCAUCUGAUCUUCCUUCGCUAACCCCCCAAGAAUGAAGUCCAGGAGGCUCUUCUCCUCACUUCCGCCGGAGCUCUUGGCUGCUGUCGCAGCAUACACUCUUCCGGUGGUCACUGCUGGCGAAAAGAAUAUGUUCAAUGAAGCCAUCUCACUACAGCUAAACUCUCUU
This 328-nucleotide unclassified non-coding RNA is filed under the name Hevea brasiliensis (rubber tree). The record is from RNAcentral. Lineage: Eukaryota; Viridiplantae; Streptophyta; Magnoliopsida; Malpighiales; Euphorbiaceae.